Molecule: ribosomal RNA, 448 nt
Filed under: uncultured bacterium
Lineage: Bacteria
Description: bacterial SSU rRNA
Rfam family: Bacterial small subunit ribosomal RNA
Source: RNAcentral
UUUCGAAUCAUUCACAAUGGGCGCAAGCCUGAUGGUGCGACGCCGCGUGAGGGAUGAAGGCCUUCGGGUUGUAAACCUCUGUCACCGGGGAAGAAACGCUUCAAGUUAACAGCUUGAAGCCUGACUUAACCCGGAGAGGAAGCAGUGGCUAACUCUGUGCCAGCAGCCGCGGUAAUACAGAGACUGCAAGCGUUAUUCGGAUUCACUGGGCGUAAAGGGUGCGCAGGCGGUUGGGUGUGUCAGAUGUGAAAUCCCGAGGCUCAACCUCGGAACUGCGUCUGAAACUACUCGACUAGAGUACUGGAGAGGGUAACGGAAUUCACGGUGUAGCAGUGAAAUGCGUAGAUAUCGUGAGGAACACCAGAGGCGAAGGCGGUUACCUGGACAGUUACUGACGCUCAGGCACGAAAGCAUGGGGAGCAAAAGGGAUUAGAUACCCCCGUAGUCC